Non-coding RNA from Pelobates cultripes (western spadefoot toad), 1095 nucleotides. Lineage: Eukaryota; Metazoa; Chordata; Amphibia; Anura; Pelobatidae. The record is from the annotation of a GenBank genome assembly.
CUGCACCUGCUGCCUGCCUGGGAAGGAGCUGCUGCCUCUGCACCCUCCUAAAUGGUAAGUAACUAUUAUACCCCCCUGCCAUUAUACCCCCCACCAUCCCUGCCUUUAUAACCCCCCUGCCAUUAUACCCCACCCCCACUGUCAUUAUAACCCCCCCUGCCAUUAUACCACCACCCUUCCUGCCCCACACCCCCCUGCCCCACCCCACCCCCACUGCCAUUAUACCCCACCUCUCUGCCAUUAUAACACCUGCCAUUAUACCCUCCUGCCAUUAUAAUCCCCCUCGCCAUUAUACCCUCCGCCAUUAUAAUCCCCUACCCUAUACCCCACCUCCCUGCCAUUAUAAUCCCCUGCCCUAUACCCCACCUCCUGCAUUAUAAUCCCUCCUGCCCUAUACCCCCACCUCCCUGCCAUUAUAAUUCCACCCCUCUUCCCCUUUACCCACACCUGCCCUAUACCCCCACCUCACUGCCAUUAAAACCCCCCAUGCCAUUAUACUCCUUCCCUAUACCCCCACCUCACUGUCAUUAUAACCCCAGAGCAGCCACCAAAAGGUGAGACCGACCCUGCUGAUCCUGCACCCUCCUAAAUGGUAAGAUACUACUAUACCGCCCUAACCCCAUUGCCCUAUACCCCCCUGCCAUUAUAACCCCACCCCCUUCCCUAUAUCCCCCACCCUCCCUGCGCUAUUCCCCACCCUCUGUGCCAUUAUACACCCACCCUCCCUGCCCUAUUCCCCCAUGCAAUAUCACACACUAAGUCCCAGACCCCAAUCUACUCCGACCCUCCUAGGCACAUACAACUGUUCCCCUACUGUCACAUAGACACAUUACACACAGGCUCACAUUCACAAAUUACAUAUGCAGUCACACACAAUGCACAUAGAUACUCUGACACAAACACAUUUUUUUACACAAGGGACAAGGACAGAUAUAUUCUGGGAGGCAGUGAGGUUAGUGCGCGCCCUGCAGUGAACCGGCAGCUGGGAUAAGAUGUCAUCCUGGCAUCGGCAUCACUACUGGGAAAACAAGUGAGCUGUGCAGGAAGAGCACCCAGCCCAGCAGCAACCGCAAAUCACUAUGGGGAAGAUCCAAG